AGAGUUUGAUCCUGGCUCAGGACGAACGCUGGCGGCGUGCCUAAUACAUGCAAGUCGAGCGGACUUGAUGAGGAGCUUGCUCCUCUGAUGGUUAGCGGCGGACGGGUGAGUAACACGUAGGCAACCUGCCUGUAAGACUGGGAUAACUACCGGAAACGGUAGCUAAUACCGGAUAAUUUAUUGUUUUGCAUGAAACGAUA
This 200-nucleotide ribosomal RNA is filed under the name uncultured bacterium. RNAcentral's name for it is "partial 16S ribosomal RNA". It matches the Rfam family "Bacterial small subunit ribosomal RNA", at positions 8 to 200 of the family's 1533-position model. The record is from RNAcentral.